This is a non-coding RNA of Kogia breviceps (pygmy sperm whale), 548 nucleotides long. Lineage: Eukaryota; Metazoa; Chordata; Mammalia; Artiodactyla; Physeteridae. The record is from RefSeq and is a predicted model, not a curated record.
UCUGUGGUAUGUGCUACUUGGUCUCACCCGGGAGCAGAGACGGUUUUGCCUUCUGCACCUCCCAAAAGCUUCUUUGAUAAGUUCUACAGAGGAAAACCAGGAGAACAAAGUAUUCUAGAAGCCAGGUGAAAAAAUCUGUAAGAAGGAAAGAGUGAACAAUCCUAUCAAAUGCAGAUAAUCAAGGAAGAUGAAGCCUGAGAAUGGAUCAUUGGAUUUAGUAACAUCUGAGUACAUGAGUAUUAUAACAGAGAGAGGAAAGAAUUUGGAGUAAUGAUAAUUCUAUUGCUUUAAUACAGCUAAGUAAUGAAUUUCAAAGUGUGGACUGGAAUUCCUCAAGAACUGUUUCAAGUCAUAACUUUUCACUUAAUGAUACUAAGAUGUCACUUGCCAUUUUCACUUUUUCUCUCGUGAAUGUACUGUGGAGUUUUCCAGAGGCUAUGUGAUGUAUGAGAGCACAAUAGAUUGAGUUCAGAAGCAGACAUGAGAAUCCAAUUGUCUUCUAUUAAGCUAGAAAUUAAAGAAAUUUCAAAAAACAUAAAACAACACCA